CACAUUUUACGCUUCACAGUUAACGCUUCAUGAUUUUUUCUUCUUCUUUUUUUCUUCCUGUUUUUUUAUUUUUGUAAUAGAUACAAUACCUUAUAUAUGUGAACUAGGGUUAAAAUGCAUGAAACUUAACGAGGUUUCCAUUAUACAGGGCCCCCAAAUUUUUAGAAAAGUAUUUAACAAUUCAGAAAAAAAAAGUAGAUAUGACAAAAGUGAAAACUUUAAAGUUGCCUUUAGGAAAGCCUUAAAAUUUAAAAAUAAAUGUGUUGAAAAAUGUUUGACCUAUGCAAAAGUUAAACAAGUUAGAAAAUUAAAAAUAAGUUCAAACGAUGUAAAAUUAUUAUUAAAAAGAAAGCAGCUAUAUGAUAAAGCGAACUCGUCUAAGUAUAAAACCAAUAUAAUUAAUGAUGAUGAUAAUAAUAAUAAUGAUAUUUAUAAUGACAAUAUGUGCAAAGAAUAUACACAAGUAAAGAGCAAUACUGGUGACACCACUAUUGAUAAUAACCAAUUUUUACAAAUACAAGACAUAAAUGAUUUAAAAUAUAAAUUUUUAAAAGAAGAAGAGUUAUGCACAUUUGUUAUUUAUUUGCAAGAGUUCAGAAGGGUAGACAUAUUAAAUGAUAACAAAACGAUAAUAAAAGAAGUUAUAAGAGAGGGCAAUGAAAUUUUCACACCUAAAAGAAAUGAUUGUAUUGAUUUUUAUAUAGAAGAAGACAAAAAAAAAGAAUAUGUUCAUACGAUUUUAGAUGUAAAAAACUUAAAAUAUAGAGGAUUGUAUAAAGUUUUACAAAGUAUGAAAAAAAAAGAAUUGUGUAAGAUUAUUCUUCAAGGUUCAGAAUGCUUUCAUAUACAUUGUUUAGUAGAACCUCAAGAUAACAUAAUAAGUGAAAAACAGGAUAAUGUGCUUGAACAUAAUUUAUAUAAACAUAAAAAACAAAAAAAAAACAAAAAGAAAAAAGGGGUCGAGUGUUACCAUGUAUAUAACCAUGAACAUGUUGAGAAUAGUGAAAGCAUAGAUUACAGUUGCAAUGGUGAAGCAUGUGAUGUGACAUAUGACAACUCGCCGUCCCAAUGCAGUAAAAAUAAAAUAAAUUUAAAAAAAACAAAAAACAUAAUUUUAGAACUAAUAGAUUUUAACAAAUCCAGAACAAUAAAUAUCACAUCUUUUGGUAAUCUCGAGAAAAGUGAAAAACUACUUUAUUAUUUUUAUGAAAAUAAUAAAAGAAAAAAAAACUUUAACUGUCCAAUUAUUGAUACAGAUUGCGAAUUAAUACUUUAUAUGAAAAUUGAAAGUGAUAAAAUAAAUAGUAAAAAAAAAGAUAAUAACAAUAAUAAUAAUAAAAUAUUUUUACCAAUUAAUUAUUUUAAUAAUAAUAAUAAUAAUAUAAAAAAAACAAAAGCUUAUUUUCUUUAUUCUUAUGAUUCAUGUGUCACAACCCCAUUUUGGUUUAACCAGUGUUUGAAAAACUUAAAAGAAGGUAACGAAAUAAUUAUACCCUUAGAAAAUAAUAAAAAUGUUUUUUCCGAAGACCAACAUGCAUAUCAUAUUCUGUUUGAUGAACUCAUAAUGGUAGAACAGGAAAAACAUGGAGAGAACAAAAAACAAGAAACUACGCUUCCUGUACAGUAUACCAAAUCAAAACGUAACAUAACAAGUGACAUAAUUAAACGUGCGAAAAAAAAAAAUAAAAUAAACCUAGAACUAGAAUUACAAAAAAUAAACGAUAUGGAAUCAUUUUUUGAAUCUUUAAUUUCUAAUAGGAAUAAAGGAAAAGGAUUUUUUAUAAUUCAUGGAUUAAAAAAACAAGAAGUAAACCAUUUUUGUAAGCAAUUCUUCGCAUUAAAUAGUAAUUUUAUAGAACAACUAAAUAAUACCAAAAAAAUAAUAUAUUCAUCUUUUUAUUGUAACUUUUUCAAAAACAUAAAAAGUAAAAAGUAUUCUAAACGGAUUGUUCAUUUUUGUAAAAAAAAAAAAAUUGCCAAAGUUAAAAGGCAGAGAAGUGGUUACAACAUCGGGGAAGGUCAUUGUGAUGGUGACGUUAAUGGUAGUGCUGAUGGUAAUAAUAAUAAAGAUAAGAAACACAACUGUAGAAAAAACAGACGCAACUGCUACAACAACAGAUGCAAUAGUGACCAAAGUAAAAACAAAGGAAAAGCCACCAACACAUAUAUACCUAAAGAGGGAAACUCCAAUUUAAAAAAGCGAUGCUUAAGUAAAGAAAAAAGAACGUCCACCACAAAGCAGUCCAAAUUUAAAAACUUAUUUUUUUUAAAAGAUGCAUUGCAAAAUGUGUAUUUUGAUAAAUCCUUUUACGAGAAAAACGCAAUUUUAAAAAUAAGGAUUGAAAAAAUUCUUUGUAAAAAAAAAGACCCAUGGAAUAUGAAUAUAUUAGAACAAAUAGAAAAUUUAAAAAUAUACAAUGAAAUGGGUAACGUUUUUAUGAAAAAAGAUUUAUAUCAUGCUGCUUCACUUCAAUAUAAAAAAGGGUUUGAUGUGUUUCGUUUUUCUAAAAUAUAUACUUUAACUUUUGAAGAAAAAAAAUUAAAUAUUUUAAAUAUUGAUGACAAUGAUAAUGAUCAAACAAAAGAACUAUUUUUACAAACACAAAAAAUAUUAAACAAUCUAGCCAUUUGUUUUUAUAAAUUAAAAAAUUAUCCUGAAUGUAUAAAUUAUGCAGAAAAAGCAUAUACAAUCAACCCAUACAACGUCAAAUCGAUAUACUGGAAAAAUAUGGCCUACUUGCAGCAAAACAAACAUAUAGAAGUUAUACAAAAUUUAAACAAUCUUUUCUGCUUAAAUAACGCUACAUUAUUAAAAUUAUAUAACACAGCUAGGUUAAUAAAAAAAAAACACGAUGAUAACUUUAAUUCGCUUUUUUAUGCCAUGUAUGAUAAAAAUGGGGGCAAAAAAAAUGAACAGACAAAAGUGUUAACAUUAUAAAAUUUUUUUUUUUUUUUUUUUUUUUUUUUUUUCUUCCAUAUUUUAUUAGACGUUUUGACACACACAUACAAAAACAUGUUUGUUACAUGUUCUAUGUACAUACAUCAUUCAGUAGUUAUUUUAUUUUAUUUUUUUUUUUUUUUCCUCUCUUUUUUUAUAAACAGAAAAUUAAGAUACAAAACUUAGUUACACAUUUUCUUUUUAUUUUUAAUGUUACUGCUUAAAAAAAAAAAAUAAAAUUAUUUAUUAAUAUUAAAACA
RNAcentral lists this long non-coding RNA (3198 nucleotides) under Piliocolobus tephrosceles (Ugandan red Colobus). RNAcentral describes it as "lncRNA (ENSPTEG00000010562.1)". The record is from RNAcentral. Lineage: Eukaryota; Metazoa; Chordata; Mammalia; Primates; Cercopithecidae.